UACGUAGGCAGCAAGCGUUGUUCGGAAUUACUGGGCGUAAAGAGUGUGUAGGCGGUGCUCUAAGUUCGGUGUGAAAUCUCCUGGCUUAACUGGGAGGGUGCGCCGGAAACUGGAGUGCUCGAGCGUGGGAGAGGAAAGCGGAAUUCCUGGUGUAGCGGUGAAAUGCGCAGAUAUCAGGAGGAACACCAAUGGCGAAGGCAGCUCGCUGGGACGGUACUGACGCUGAGACGCGAAAGCGUAGGGAGCAAACAGG
RNAcentral lists this ribosomal RNA (253 nucleotides) under uncultured bacterium. RNAcentral's name for it is "partial 16S ribosomal RNA". It matches the Rfam family "Bacterial small subunit ribosomal RNA", at positions 524 to 776 of the family's 1533-position model. The record is from RNAcentral.